CCUACGGGAGGCAGCAGUGGGGAAUCUUCCACAAUGGUCGGAAGCCUGAUGGAGCAACGCCGCGUGGGUGAAGAAGGUCUUCGGAUCGUUAAACCCUUUUGUUCGGGAAGAAAAGACGUGAGAGUAACUGUUCACGUUUCGACGGUAUCUAACCAGACAGCCACGGCUAACUACGUGCCAGCAGCCGCGGUAAUACGUAGGUGGCACACGUUAUCAGGAUUUUAUGGGCGUAAAGGGAACGCAGGCGGUCCUUUAAGGCUGAUGGGAAAGCCCUCGGCCUAACCGGAGUAGUGCAUUGGAAACUGGGAGACUUGAGUGCAGAAGAGGAGAGCGGAACGCCAUGUGUAGCGGUGAAAUGCGUGGAUAUAUGGAAGAACUCCAGUUGCGAAAGCGGCUCUCUGGUCUGUAACUGACGCUGAGGUUCGAAAGCGUGGGUAGCAAACAGGAUUAGAUACCCUUGUAGUC
RNAcentral lists this ribosomal RNA (465 nucleotides) under uncultured bacterium. RNAcentral's name for it is "partial 16S ribosomal RNA". It matches the Rfam family "Bacterial small subunit ribosomal RNA", at positions 338 to 795 of the family's 1533-position model. The record is from RNAcentral.